This 307-nucleotide ribosomal RNA is filed under the name uncultured eukaryote. Its description in RNAcentral is "partial 18S ribosomal RNA". It matches the Rfam family "Eukaryotic small subunit ribosomal RNA", at positions 1470 to 1796 of the family's 1831-position model. The record is from RNAcentral.
CCCUUAGACGUUCUGGGCCGCACGCGCGCUACACUGACACAGGCAACGAGCUUUCCUUUACCGAAAGGUAUGGGUAAUCUUUUGAAACUGUGUCGUGCUGGGGAUAGAUCCUUGCAAUUUUUGAUCUUAAACGAGGAAUUCCUAGUAAGCGCGAGUCAUCAACUCGCGUUGAUUACGUCCCUGCCCUUUGUACACACCGCCCGUCGCUACUACCGAUUGAAUGGCUUAGUGAGGCCUCAGGAUCCGCGCUUAAUGUGUGGAGAAUUUGGACAAACUACGUCAUUUAGAGGAAGGAGAAGUCGUAACA